UUCACGGGCGCCCAAAACCACCCAUUUGGAGAAGAGCUGAGUGGGGAUUUGAACCUUCGAGAGCUCACGCCCUGGCGCCACCAGGAGAUGGUGCUCAAGGGGGCUAGGGCUGCUCCAGGGCGAGUCCCAGGACAGACAGACCUCAGAUCCCUGAGAGCCCCUUUUACCGUCCCCUUGAAGGGGACAGGUCCUGGCCUGGCCUGGGGUAGAAACCCAGAAACUUCUGUUAAACAAGAAAAGGAACGGAUCGUCUCUCCCAAAGAGCUGACCAGGCGCUCACCUCUCCACCUACAUCACCGAGCUGCGGUUCUCAGUCUUCCUCCGAGGGCUCCCUUCCUAGAACCUGGGGCUGGACAGCGCCUCAGGCUUUCACUUCGCCCUCCCCUCCGGCCUCUUGCAAACCCGCUCCAAAACCAAAGGGUAGUGUGGCCUGGUGUUAAAAGUCUGCAAAGCUGACCACCCCUCCUCCGGCCGCCCUAAGCAGUCCCGCUGUAUGCAGCUCACACCGUAUGAUUUAGAGCAUGACCUUCGGUCCUGCCUGGGACCCCAACGUGCUGUGUGCUUCCGAGCAAGCCACUUCACCUCUCGGAGCCCUGACGCCUCCCUCUGUAAACUGGGGAAUAAAAACACCCCAUGAGGCCGAGAACGUGAACU
Molecule: long non-coding RNA, 654 nt
Organism: Herpailurus yagouaroundi (jaguarundi)
Lineage: Eukaryota; Metazoa; Chordata; Mammalia; Carnivora; Felidae
Exons: 2
Source: RefSeq, a predicted model, not a curated record